Molecule: ribosomal RNA, 497 nt
Filed under: uncultured bacterium
Lineage: Bacteria
Description: partial 16S ribosomal RNA
Rfam family: Bacterial small subunit ribosomal RNA
Source: RNAcentral
GAUGAACGCUGGCGGCGUGCCUAAUACAUGCAAGUCGAGCGAACAGACGCUGAGCUUGCUCCUCUGACGUUAGCGGCGGACAGGUGAGUAACACGUGGAUAACCUCCCUAUAAUACUGGGAUAACUUCGGGAAACCGGAGAUAAUACCGGAGAAUAUAUUGAACCGCAUGGGUCAAUAGUGAAAGACGGUUUUGCUGUCACUUAUAGAUGGAUCCGCGCCGCAUUAGCUAGUUGGUAAGGUAACGGCUUACCAAGGCAACGAUGCGUAGCCGACCUGAGAGGGUGAUCGGCCACACUGGAACUGAGACACGGUCCAGACUCCUACGGGAGGCAGCAGUAGGGAAUCUUCCGCAAUGGGCGAAAGCCUGACGGAGCAACGCCGCGUGAGUGAUGAAGGUCUUCGGAUCGUAAAACUCUGUUAUUAGGGAAGAACAAAUGUGUAAGUAACUAUGCCCGUCUUGACGGUACCUAAUCAGAAAGCCACGGCUAACUACGUG